This 446-nucleotide ribosomal RNA is filed under the name uncultured bacterium. RNAcentral's name for it is "bacterial SSU rRNA". It matches the Rfam family "Bacterial small subunit ribosomal RNA", at positions 330 to 793 of the family's 1533-position model. The record is from RNAcentral.
GCCAGACUCCUACGGGAGGCAGCAGUGGGGGAUAUUGCACAAUGGGGGGAACCCUGAUGCAGCGACGCCGCGUGAAGGAAGAAGUAUCUCGGUAUGUAAACUUCUAUCAGCAGGGAAGAAAAUGACGGUACCUGACUAAGAAGCCCCGGCUAACUACGUGCCAGCAGCCGCGGUAAUACGUAGGGGGCAAGCGUUAUCCGGAUUUACUGGGUGUAAAGGGAGCGUAGACGGCCAGACAAGUCUGAAGUGAAAAUCCAGCGCUUAACGUUGGAAGUGCUUUGGAAACUGCCGGGCUGGAGUGCAGGAGGGGCAGGCGGAAUUCCUAGUGUAGCGGUGAAAUGCGUAGAUAUCAGGAGGAACACCGGCGGCGAAGGCGGCCUGCUGGACCGUGACUGACGUUGAGGCUCGAGAGCGUGGGGAGCAAACAGGAUUAGAUACCCUCGUAA